Molecule: ribosomal RNA, 157 nt
Filed under: Teratosphaeriaceae sp. MUT 4958
Lineage: Eukaryota; Fungi; Ascomycota; Dothideomycetes; Mycosphaerellales; Teratosphaeriaceae
Description: 5.8S ribosomal RNA
Rfam family: 5.8S ribosomal RNA (bases 67-157)
About the family: 5.8S ribosomal RNA (5.8S rRNA) is a component of the large subunit of the eukaryotic ribosome.
Source: RNAcentral
CGGCGGUAACCUCAUCCAACUCUCGCAUCAAUUGUCGUCGGAGUAAUGAAGUUUAAUUCAAUUUAAAACUUUCAACAACGGAUCUCUUGGUUCUGGCAUCGAUGAAGAACGCAGCGAAAUGCGAUAAGUAAUGUGAAUUGCAGAAUUCAGUGAAUCA